UACGGAGGGGGCUAGCGUUGUUCGGAAUUACUGGGCGUAAAGCGCGCGUAGGCGGAUUGUUAAGUCGGGGGUGAAAUCCCGGGGCUCAACCCCGGAACUGCCCUCGAUACUGGCAGUCUAGAGGUCGAGAGAGGUGAGUGGAAUUCCGAGUGUAGAGGUGAAAUUCGUAGAUAUUCGGAGGAACACCAGUGGCGAAGGCGGCUCACUGGCUCGAUUCUGACGCUGAGGUGCGAAAGCGUGGGGAGCAAACAGG
This 253-nucleotide ribosomal RNA is filed under the name uncultured prokaryote. RNAcentral describes it as "partial 16S ribosomal RNA". It matches the Rfam family "Bacterial small subunit ribosomal RNA", at positions 524 to 776 of the family's 1533-position model. The record is from RNAcentral.